Molecule: ribosomal RNA, 301 nt
Filed under: uncultured bacterium
Lineage: Bacteria
Description: partial 16S ribosomal RNA
Rfam family: Bacterial small subunit ribosomal RNA
Source: RNAcentral
CAGUCGCCACGGGAACACGGAGGGGGCUAGCGUUGCUCGGAAUGACUGGGCGUAAAGGGCGCGUAGGCGGCGAUCAAAGUCAGGCGUGAAAUCCCCGGGCUUAACCUGGGAACUGCAUUUGUGACUGGCAAGCUAGAGUAUGGCAGAGGGGGGUGGAAUUCCGCGUGUAGCAGUGAAAUGCGUAGAUAUGCGGAGGAACACCGAUGGCGAAGGCAGCCCCCUGGGCCAAUACUGACGCUCAUGCACGAAAGCGUGGGGAGCAAACAGGAUUAGAUACCCCGGUAGUCCCUGUCUCUUAUAC